AGCGAACGCUGGCGGCAGGCUUAACACAUGCAAGUCGAACGCACCGCAAGGUGAGUGGCAGACGGGUGAGUAACGCGUGGGAACCUUCCCUUUGGUUCAGGAUAGCUCCGGGAAACUGGAAUUAAUACUGGAUAAGAUCUACGGAUGAAAGAUUUAUCGCCGAAGGAUGGGCCCGCGUAAGAUUAGCUAGUUGGUGAGGUAAUGGCUCACCAAGGCAAUGAUCUUUAGCUGGUCUGAGAGGAUGAUCAGCCACACUGGAACUGAGACACGGUCCAGACUCCUACGGGAGGCAGCAGUGAGGAAUAUUGGACAAUGGGCGCAAGCCUGAUCCAGCCAUGCCGCGUGAGUGAUGAAGGCCUUAGGGUUGUAAAACUCUUUUAGUAGGGAAAAUAGUGAUGGUACCUACAGAAAAAGCUCCGGCUAACUUCGUGCCAGCCGCCGCCGUAA
This 447-nucleotide ribosomal RNA is filed under the name uncultured bacterium. Its description in RNAcentral is "partial 16S ribosomal RNA". It matches the Rfam family "Bacterial small subunit ribosomal RNA", at positions 29 to 523 of the family's 1533-position model. The record is from RNAcentral.